This 2901-nucleotide ribosomal RNA is filed under the name Klebsiella quasipneumoniae subsp. quasipneumoniae. Its description in RNAcentral is "bacterial LSU rRNA". It matches the Rfam family "Bacterial large subunit ribosomal RNA". The record is from RNAcentral. Lineage: Bacteria; Pseudomonadati; Pseudomonadota; Gammaproteobacteria; Enterobacterales; Enterobacteriaceae.
UUAAGCGACUAAGCGUACACGGUGGAUGCCCUGGCAGUCAGAGGCGAUGAAGGACGUGCUAAUCUGCGAAAAGCGUCGGUAAGGUGAUAUGAACCGUUAUAACCGGCGAUGUCCGAAUGGGGAAACCCAGUGUGAUUCGUCACACUAUCGUUAACUGAAUACAUAGGUUAACGAGGCGAACCGGGGGAACUGAAACAUCUAAGUACCCCGAGGAAAAGAAAUCAACCGAGAUUCCCCCAGUAGCGGCGAGCGAACGGGGAGCAGCCCAGAGUCUGAAUCAGCUUGUGUGUUAGUGGAACGGUCUGGAAAGUCCGACGGUACAGGGUGAUAGUCCCGUACACCAAAAUGCACAGGUUGUGAACUCGAAGAGUAGGGCGGGACACGUGGUAUCCUGUCUGAAUAUGGGGGGACCAUCCUCCAAGGCUAAAUACUCCUGACUGACCGAUAGUGAACCAGUACCGUGAGGGAAAGGCGAAAAGAACCCCGGCGAGGGGAGUGAAAAAGAACCUGAAACCGUGUACGUACAAGCAGUGGGAGCACCUUUAUGGUGUGACUGCGUACCUUUUGUAUAAUGGGUCAGCGACUUAUAUUCUGUAGCAAGGUUAACCGUAUAGGGGAGCCGCAGGGAAACCGAGUCUUAACUGGGCGUUAAGUUGCAGGGUAUAGACCCGAAACCCGGUGAUCUAGCCAUGGGCAGGUUGAAGGUUGGGUAACACUAACUGGAGGACCGAACCGACUAAUGUUGAAAAAUUAGCGGAUGACUUGUGGCUGGGGGUGAAAGGCCAAUCAAACCGGGAGAUAGCUGGUUCUCCCCGAAAGCUAUUUAGGUAGCGCCUCGUGAACUCAUCUUCGGGGGUAGAGCACUGUUUCGGCUAGGGGGUCAUCCCGACUUACCAACCCGAUGCAAACUACGAAUACCGAAGAAUGUUAUCACGGGAGACACACGGCGGGUGCUAACGUCCGUCGUGAAGAGGGAAACAACCCAGACCGCCAGCUAAGGUCCCAAAGUCAUGGUUAAGUGGGAAACGAUGUGGGAAGGCACAGACAGCCAGGAUGUUGGCUUAGAAGCAGCCAUCAUUUAAAGAAAGCGUAAUAGCUCACUGGUCGAGUCGGCCUGCGCGGAAGAUGUAACGGGGCUAAACCAUGCACCGAAGCUGCGGCAGCGACACUAUGUGUUGUUGGGUAGGGGAGCGUUCUGUAAGCCUGCGAAGGUGACCUGUGAGGGUUGCUGGAGGUAUCAGAAGUGCGAAUGCUGACAUAAGUAACGAUAAAGCGGGUGAAAAGCCCGCUCGCCGGAAGACCAAGGGUUCCUGUCCAACGUUAAUCGGGGCAGGGUGAGUCGACCCCUAAGGCGAGGCCGAAAGGCGUAGUCGAUGGGAAACAGGUUAAUAUUCCUGUACUUGGUGUUACUGCGAAGGGGGGACGGAGAAGGCUAUGUUAGCCGGGCGACGGUUGUCCCGGUUUAAGCAUGUAGGCUGGUUAUCCAGGCAAAUCCGGAUAAUCAAGGCUGAGGUGUGAUGACGAGGCACUACGGUGCUGAAGUAACAAAUGCCCUGCUUCCAGGAAAAGCCUCUAAGCAUCAGGUAACAUCAAAUCGUACCCCAAACCGACACAGGUGGUCAGGUAGAGAAUACCAAGGCGCUUGAGAGAACUCGGGUGAAGGAACUAGGCAAAAUGGUGCCGUAACUUCGGGAGAAGGCACGCUGGUGUGUAGGUGAAGUCCCUGCGGAUGGAGCUGAGACCAGUCGAAGAUACCAGCUGGCUGCAACUGUUUAUUAAAAACACAGCACUGUGCAAACACGAAAGUGGACGUAUACGGUGUGACGCCUGCCCGGUGCCGGAAGGUUAAUUGAUGGGGUUAUCCGUAAGGAGAAGCUCUUGAUCGAAGCCCCGGUAAACGGCGGCCGUAACUAUAACGGUCCUAAGGUAGCGAAAUUCCUUGUCGGGUAAGUUCCGACCUGCACGAAUGGCGUAAUGAUGGCCAGGCUGUCUCCACCCGAGACUCAGUGAAAUUGAACUCGCUGUGAAGAUGCAGUGUACCCGCGGCAAGACGGAAAGACCCCGUGAACCUUUACUAUAGCUUGACACUGAACAUUGAGCCUUGAUGUGUAGGAUAGGUGGGAGGCUUUGAAGCGUGGACGCCAGUCUGCGUGGAGCCAACCUUGAAAUACCACCCUUUAAUGUUUGAUGUUCUAACGUGGGCCCCUGACCGGGGUUGCGGACAGUGUCUGGUGGGUAGUUUGACUGGGGCGGUCUCCUCCCAAAGCGUAACGGAGGAGCACGAAGGUUAGCUAAUCCUGGUCGGACAUCAGGAGGUUAGUGCAAUGGCAUAAGCUAGCUUGACUGCGAGCGUGACGGCGCGAGCAGGUGCGAAAGCAGGUCAUAGUGAUCCGGUGGUUCUGAAUGGAAGGGCCAUCGCUCAACGGAUAAAAGGUACUCCGGGGAUAACAGGCUGAUACCGCCCAAGAGUUCAUAUCGACGGCGGUGUUUGGCACCUCGAUGUCGGCUCAUCACAUCCUGGGGCUGAAGUAGGUCCCAAGGGUAUGGCUGUUCGCCAUUUAAAGUGGUACGCGAGCUGGGUUUAGAACGUCGUGAGACAGUUCGGUCCCUAUCUGCCGUGGGCGCUGGAGAAUUGAGGGGGGCUGCUCCUAGUACGAGAGGACCGGAGUGGACGCAUCACUGGUGUUCGGGUUGUCAUGCCAAUGGCACUGCCCGGUAGCUAAAUGCGGAAGAGAUAAGUGCUGAAAGCAUCUAAGCACGAAACUUGCCCCGAGAUGAGUUCUCCCUGAGACUUUAAGUCUCCUGAAGGAACGUUGAAGACGACGACGUUGAUAGGCCGGGUGUGUAAGCGCAGCGAUGCGUUGAGCUAACCGGUACUAAUGAACCGUGAGGCUUAACCUU